This 324-nucleotide ribosomal RNA is filed under the name uncultured bacterium. Its description in RNAcentral is "bacterial SSU rRNA". It matches the Rfam family "Bacterial small subunit ribosomal RNA", at positions 28 to 334 of the family's 1533-position model. The record is from RNAcentral.
GACGAACGCUGGCGGCGUGCUUAACACAUGCAAGUCGAACGGAGCACCCUUGAAGGAGUUUUCGGACAACGGAGAGGAAUGCUUAGUGGCGGACUGGUGAGUAACGCGUGAGGAACCUGCCUUUCGGAGGGGGACAACAGUUGGAAACGACUGCUAAUACCGCAUGAUACAUUUGGGCCGCAUGGUCUGAAUGUCAAAGAUUUAUCGCCGAAAGAUGGCCUCGCGUCUGAUUAGCUAGUUGGUGGGGUAACGGCCCACCAAGGCGACGAUCAGUAGCCGGACUGAGAGGUUGGCCGGCCACAUUGGGACUGAGAUACGGCCCAG